RNAcentral lists this non-coding RNA (85 nucleotides) under Alkalihalophilus pseudofirmus. RNAcentral describes it as "Bacillus pseudofirmus c-di-GMP-II sequence". It matches the Rfam family "Cyclic di-GMP-II riboswitch aptamer". The record is from RNAcentral. RNAcentral also lists the same sequence under 1 other name. Lineage: Bacteria; Bacillati; Bacillota; Bacilli; Caryophanales; Bacillaceae.
UAAAUUGACGGAUACGUUGAAAACUUCUCUGUAAAUUGGGCGCUUUGAGAAGUUGGAGUAAGUAGCGCAACCGGCCGAUAAAGGG